This 93-nucleotide non-coding RNA is filed under the name uncultured Mycoplasma sp. Lineage: Bacteria; Bacillati; Mycoplasmatota; Mollicutes; Mycoplasmatales; Mycoplasmataceae. The record is from RNAcentral.
CUAAGUAAUAGGAGUUAUAGGAAAAAUUUUCUGUAAAGUGCCACAGAGACGAGUUUUGCAGAAAUGUAAAAGUGAAACGCGGUAAACUCCUCC